RNAcentral lists this ribosomal RNA (435 nucleotides) under uncultured bacterium. Its description in RNAcentral is "partial 16S ribosomal RNA". It matches the Rfam family "Bacterial small subunit ribosomal RNA", at positions 27 to 507 of the family's 1533-position model. The record is from RNAcentral.
GAGCGACCGCUGGCGGCAGGCCUAACACAUGCAAGUCGAACGAACCUUUCGGGGUUAGUGGCGGACGGGUGAGUAACACGUGGGAACGUGCCUUUAGGUUCGGAAUAACUCAGGGAAACUUGUGCUAAUACCGAAUGUGCCCUUCGGGGGAAAGAUUUAUCGCCUUUAGAGCGGCCCGCGUCUGAUUAGCUAGUUGGUUGAGGUAAUGGCUCACCAAGGCGACGAUCAGUAGCUGGUCUGAGAGGAUGAUCAGCCACAUUGGGACUGAGACACGGCCCAAACUCCUACGGGAGGCAGCAGUGGGGAAUCUUGCGCAAUGGGCGAAAGCCUGACGCAGCCAUGCCGCGUGAAUGAUGAAGGUCUUAGGAUUGUAAAAUUCUUUCACCGGGGACGAUAAUGACGGUACCCGGAGAAGAAGCCCCGGCUAACUUCGUG